RNAcentral lists this ribosomal RNA (465 nucleotides) under uncultured bacterium. RNAcentral describes it as "partial 16S ribosomal RNA". It matches the Rfam family "Bacterial small subunit ribosomal RNA", at positions 28 to 507 of the family's 1533-position model. The record is from RNAcentral.
GAUGAACGCUGGCGGCGUGCUUAACACAUGCAAGUCGAACGGAAAGGCUCCUGCUUGCAGGGGUACUCGAGUGGCGAACGGGUGAGUAACACGUGGGUGAUCUGCCCUGCACUUCGGGAUAAGCCUGGGAAACUGGGUCUAAUACCGGAUAGGACGAUGUUUUGGAUGCGAUUGUGGAGAGUUUUUCGGUGUGGGAUGAGCUCGCGGCCUAUCAGCUUGUUGGUGGGGUAAUGGCAUACCAAGGCGUCGACGGGUAGCCGGCCUGAGAGGGUGUACGGCCACAUUGGGCCUGAGGUACGGCCCAGACUCCUACGGGAGGCAGCAGUGGGGAAUCUUGCACAAUGGGGGCAAGCGUGAUGCAGCGACGCCGCGUGGGGGAUGCCGGCUUUCGGGUUGUAAACUCCUUUCGCUAGGGACGAAGAGAAAGUGACGGUACCUGGAGAAGAAGCACCGGCUAACUACGUG